GACGAACGCUGGCGGCGUGCUUAACACAUGCAAGUCGAACGGAAAGGCCCUGCUUUUGUGGGGUGCUCGAGUGGCGAACGGGUGAGUAACACGUGAGUAACCUGCCCUUGACUUUGGGAUAACUUCAGGAAACUGGGGCUAAUACCGGAUAGGAGCUCCUGCUGCAUGGUGGGGGUUGGAAAGUUUCGGCGGUUGGGGAUGGACUCGCGGCUUAUCAGCUUGUUGGUGGGGUAGUGGCGUACCAAGGCUUUGACGGGUAGCCGGCCUGAGAGGGUGACCGGCCACAUUGGGACUGAGGUACGGCCCAGACUCCUACGGGAGGCAGCAGUGGGGAAUAUUGCACAAUGGGCGGAAGCCUGAUGCAGCAACGCCGCGUGCGGGAUGACGGCCUUCGGGUUGUAAACCGCUUUCGCCUGUGACGAAGCGUGAGUGACGGUAAUGGGUAAAGAAGCACCGGCUAACUACGUG
Molecule: ribosomal RNA, 468 nt
Filed under: uncultured bacterium
Lineage: Bacteria
Description: partial 16S ribosomal RNA
Rfam family: Bacterial small subunit ribosomal RNA
Source: RNAcentral